GACGAACGCUGGCGGCGUGCCUAACACAUGCAAGUCGAGCGGGGAUUUAAGUGGAAGUUCUUCGGAAUGGAGAUUUAAAUUCUAGCGGCGGACGGGUGAGUAACGCGUGAACAAUCUGUCCCGGACAGGGGGAUAACACUUGGAAACAGGUGCUAAUACCGCAUAAGACCACGGCCUCGCAUGGGGCUGAGGUAAAAGGAGCAAUCCGGUUCGGGGUGAGUUCGCGUCCGAUUAGCUAGUUGGUGAGGUAACGGCCCACCAAGGCGACGAUCGGUAGCCGGCCUGAGAGGGUGAACGGCCACAUUGGAACCGAGAGACGGUCCAAACUCCUACGGGAGGCAGCAGUGGGGAAUAUUGGGCAAUGGGCGAAAGCCUGACCCAGCAACGCCGCGUGAGGGAAGAAGGUUUUCGGAUUGUAAACCUCUGUCCUAUGGGACGAAGGAAGUGACGGUACCAUAGGAGGAAGCCCCGGCUAACUACGUG
This 483-nucleotide ribosomal RNA is filed under the name uncultured bacterium. Its description in RNAcentral is "partial 16S ribosomal RNA". It matches the Rfam family "Bacterial small subunit ribosomal RNA", at positions 28 to 507 of the family's 1533-position model. The record is from RNAcentral.